UACGUAGGUCCCGAGCGUUGUCCGGAUUUAUUGGGUGUAAAGGGUGCGUAGACGGAGAAGCAAGUUAGUUGUGAAAUCCCUCGGCUUAACUGAGGAACUGCAACUAAAACUACUUCCCUUGAGUACUGGAGAGGAAAGUGGAAUUCCUAGUGUAGCGGUGGAAUGCGUAGAUAUUAGGAGGAACACCAGUGGCGAAGGCGACUUUCUGGACAGUAACUGACGUUGAGGCACGAAAGUGUGGGGAGCAAACAGG
RNAcentral lists this ribosomal RNA (253 nucleotides) under uncultured bacterium. Its description in RNAcentral is "partial 16S ribosomal RNA". It matches the Rfam family "Bacterial small subunit ribosomal RNA", at positions 524 to 776 of the family's 1533-position model. The record is from RNAcentral.